UACGUAGGGUGCAAGCGUUAAUCGGAAUUACUGGGCGUAAAGCGGGCGCAGGCGGUUGUGGAAGACAGAUGUGAAAUCCCCGGGCUCAACCUGGGAACUGCAUUUGUGACUGCACGGCUCGAGUGCGGCAGAGGGGGAUGGAAUUCCGCGUGUAGCAGUGAAAUGCGUAGAUAUGCGGAGGAACACCGAUGGCGAAGGCAAUCCCCUGGGCCUGCACUGACGCUCAUGCACGAAAGCGUGGGGAGCAAACAGG
Molecule: ribosomal RNA, 253 nt
Filed under: uncultured bacterium
Lineage: Bacteria
Description: partial 16S ribosomal RNA
Rfam family: Bacterial small subunit ribosomal RNA
Source: RNAcentral